Poeciliopsis prolifica (blackstripe livebearer) is the source of this 2355-nucleotide long non-coding RNA. RefSeq lists it as uncharacterized. NCBI's taxonomy places the organism in Eukaryota, Metazoa, Chordata, Actinopteri, Cyprinodontiformes, Poeciliidae. The transcript has 3 exons. The record is from RefSeq and is a predicted model, not a curated record.
ACGUGUGGUAAAACAAGGCAACUCGCUGUUUCUUUGUCGCUAUGGUCUGACUUAUGACAAUCAAUACACACCAGCCUAACUUCAAUAGCAGGUUCUCUCAUUUUUGCCAAUUUCAGUAGCAGCUAUUCACAGGAAGCCGAAUUCAUUUCCCCGCUGGCACAAGAUGAAAGAACUGAUACACCAUGAAUAUAUCAGAGAAUUCACACAAGUACAUACAGAAGCACAGACCAGACAACAAAGUGACCGCAUUUCCCUGGAGCUCGGUGAUUAGCCAUGCUGCGUAAAGAACUCUCCCUUACCUUGCGUCACAUGUGAGAUCCCAGGUGGAGAACUCAUGGUCACUAAGGUUAGCGACAGCUGCAGAAGCUUUUGGCCAGAAGCCGAGACGUUUGAUGGCGACCGGCUCGUGACCAGCCUCCAGUGAGGGCGAAUGGCUGCAGCAGGUACCCAUUCUUCACACAGAAGGAAAUCAAAAAAAGCUAUAAAAUGUCCAGAUGUUUGGUCUUUAACCACCUUCGUUGCAUUUGCACAUCUUCCACUUCCUAAAGAUGUAAUACUUCCACAUUCAAGCAAGUCAGGAGAUCUUAUAAGAAGUGCUUCCUUUACAUUUCAUCAGUUGUUUUGUCGACUUCUCUCCAGUCAGAGUGGCUGAUUUUGGAGUUGCCUGGCCCUGACAGCCUUUACCCUCCUCCUUACUCUGACAGAAGUCUUUCUGUCUCCCACCACCCUGCAGUCCACAACAUUGUAUAAACCAUCUUGUUGUUUGUCUCAGUUGCUGUUUGUAUUUGAGUCCUUCAAUCCCUCCUUUGUGAGCGCCCUUUCAGAACCAAGUGUGGAACACAGACGGAGGCCGCACAAUUUCCAAUCCCAAGCUUCAGAUACAGAUGAUCCAACAUCAGUCAUGUUGGCCUGAGAAAGACCGGUCAAACCUACGUCGUAACUGUGAGUGGGCUUGCUAUGUAGAAAAAUUCAACAAGUGUUCUCCAUAUUUCUCAUUCCACGCUCCAAAUUAUAAUUCCAUGUCCUAAAGAAACACCUUAGGUUAAUCUCAAAACCAUUGUAGAUUGAACUUAAAAGGACUUCCUCUACACUUUUGAACGCACAUGUCCAACUGUUCAGUGUUUUGUUACUUUUUUCACAACUUGCUGUUCUCUUACAAGGAGCAAAAUUCACAACAGGUGUUUGAUUCGAGUAUUGAAAUGGUGUUUUAAACCGUCCUAAUGAUACUGUUCACACCAAACUAUUCAAGACAACACCAAACAGCUGACCAUAUGUUUGUUUUCAUUGCGAGGUCUCAAACAGUCUGUCUUCAGGUGGAUGUCGUUGCCGAGCUUAAGAGUGUCAGAAGGUUGCAAUAUAGAUAUUUUCUAAAAAGUGGGAAUGAUGUUGAUGGAAAGCAUCGUUUUAAUUUCCCUGUCUACCAAAGAACACAAUGUACCCAUGUUUCCAAAUCAAUAAUUCUGUUGACAUUUCAAUAGAUGCGUGGGAAACCUCUCUGUGUAUUGUUUGUGGGGAGCAGCAUUUAUUUAAAGUACAAUUUGUAACAGAAAGUUGACUUUUACAAAAAUGUAAAGAGGUCUGCUCUAUUUUUUUUCCACUCAGUUGGAUUUUAUAAUUCACUUGGUACAGCCGCAUAAUGAUUAUUGGUUAUGUGGAAACAAAAGGCAAACACUUAACUAUGUUCCAAAAAAACUAGAAAAUAUGUUGAUGAUUAUUGUGGUGGGCGAUGUGAACUUAAAAUGUUGUCAUAUUUUGUGGUAUUUACUGUAUCAACUAUAAAAGUGAUAAUAAAAAAAUAGGGAAUUAUGUGGAAAGAAUACAAACUUUUUGAAAUGGGUUUCUAUACAAACAUCUGUGAUGUUUAAAAGUAUGAUUCUUGACUCUAAACCACACACAAUUACUGCAUUUAGCCAUAUUUUUGUAUUUAUUGAUAUUUGUUGAGGCUCAUAUGGAUCCAAAAGAGGUGAAUAUUUCUAUUUUGAAAAGAAAUUUUCACAAUGACAAUGAAAAAUAUUGAAUCCCCAAUCAGAUUGUAAUUUAUUAGGUGCUAUUUUCUAAUAGAGGAAAUUAUUAAAUGUUUAGAAUUUUUCAAAAUACACUAAAACUAGAUUUUUAAAUACUGUAAGUACACAUUAUUAUCUUAAAUUAUGGAGCAGUAAACUGAAAUCGUUUGACAUUCAGCACACCACCUCAUUAGUUCUGAUGUUAAAGGAAAUCAACCGUUCAGACAAAAGUUUUCCUUGCUUUUUCAACUUCCAGUCCUUUAUAUUCCUAAAAAUAUCUGCCUGAUGAAUCCGUGAUGUACUUAGUUUUUUCUGUUAGAAUCUGUGAAUUAAUACUAAAGCCUCACGGCGA